Molecule: transfer RNA, 33 nt
Filed under: Diphasiastrum sitchense
Lineage: Eukaryota; Viridiplantae; Streptophyta; Lycopodiopsida; Lycopodiales; Lycopodiaceae
Description: partial tRNA-Leu
Source: RNAcentral
AAAAUUCGUUGGCUUUAUAGACCGUGAGGGUUC